AACGCUCGUGAGGCCAAGAAAACACACAUGCAAGCACGUUGUCCAAAUAACAAUCCCAAUAUUCAAGUAAUUUACAAUUCAAGCGAGAAAAAAAUAAACAGAAACAAUUCAAGGAUAUAGGAGCUCUCAGGAGCUAUUUUCCUCUUGCUUCGCCACGGCUCGAUCCGAUACCCCCUCGUGAUGACACUCCGUUAUCCGGGUGGGUAUUUUAUCCGUAGAAACUUCACUUAUUACUUCCUCCGACCAACAUUCCACCCUCUCGGAUCCGAAACCAAACACGCACGAAAAAAAGGUAAUACUCGUCGAGUAUGCCACACGAGAUCUCAAGAGAUCAAGUUUUGAUUUUUGAACACGCACGGAAAGGGCGAUACUCCACGAGUAUGCCGAACAAGAUCUCAAAAGAUCAAGUUGUGUUUUGUUAUUCUCUUGGUUUAUCAAACUUCUCGACCAAGCCCAUGCCGGCUCGAGUUGUAAGAUUGGUUAAGAGAAUUGGGCGUCCCCAUAAGUCGAGGAGGUUCACUCCACCCGACAACAAGACACGCACGACAUACACG
This 554-nucleotide long non-coding RNA is filed under the name Coffea arabica (coffee). RNAcentral's name for it is "long non-coding RNA (CARA_LNC006870)". Lineage: Eukaryota; Viridiplantae; Streptophyta; Magnoliopsida; Gentianales; Rubiaceae. The record is from RNAcentral.